Molecule: ribosomal RNA, 27 nt
Filed under: Dactylogyrus minor
Lineage: Eukaryota; Metazoa; Platyhelminthes; Monogenea; Dactylogyridea; Dactylogyridae
Also listed under: 38 other names
Description: partial 5.8S ribosomal RNA
Source: RNAcentral
CAACUGCAAGUGGUGGAUCACUCGGCU